GCCCUACGGGACGCAGCAGUGGGGAAUAUCGCACAAUGGGGGAAACCCUGAUGCAGCGACGCCGCGUGAGUGAAGAAGUAUUUCGGUAUGUAAAGCUCUGUCAGCAGGGAAGAAGAAAGACGGUACCUGACCAAGAAGCCCCGGCUAACUACGUGCCAGCAGCCGCGGUAAUACGUAGGGGGCAAGCGUUAUCCGGAAUCACUGGGUGUAAAGGGAGCGUAGACGGCUGUGCAAGCCUGGAGUGAAAGGCGGGGGCCCAACCCCCGGACUGCUAUGGGAACUGUAUGGCUGGAGUGCAGGAGAGG
Molecule: ribosomal RNA, 305 nt
Filed under: uncultured bacterium
Lineage: Bacteria
Description: bacterial SSU rRNA
Rfam family: Bacterial small subunit ribosomal RNA
Source: RNAcentral